RNAcentral lists this ribosomal RNA (726 nucleotides) under Cupriavidus sp. SMCC B0687. RNAcentral describes it as "bacterial SSU rRNA". It matches the Rfam family "Bacterial small subunit ribosomal RNA", at positions 22 to 743 of the family's 1533-position model. Lineage: Bacteria; Pseudomonadati; Pseudomonadota; Betaproteobacteria; Burkholderiales; Burkholderiaceae. The record is from RNAcentral.
GCUCAGAUUGAACGCUGGCGGCAUGCCUUACACAUGCAAGUCGAACGGCAGCACGGGAGCAAUCCUGGUGGCGAGUGGCGAACGGGUGAGUAAUACAUCGGAACGUGCCCUGUCGUGGGGGAUAACUAGUCGAAAGAUUAGCUAAUACCGCAUACGACCUGAGGGUGAAAGCGGGGGACCGCAAGGCCUCGCGCGAUAGGAGCGGCCGAUGUCUGAUUAGCUAGUUGGUGGGGUAAAGGCCCACCAAGGCGACGAUCAGUAGCUGGUCUGAGAGGACGAUCAGCCACACUGGGACUGAGACACGGCCCAGACUCCUACGGGAGGCAGCAGUGGGGAAUUUUGGACAAUGGGGGCAACCCUGAUCCAGCAAUGCCGCGUGUGUGAAGAAGGCCUUCGGGUUGUAAAGCACUUUUGUCCGGAAAGAAAUCCCUUGCUCUAAUAAAGCGGGGGGAUGACGGUACCGGAAGAAUAAGCACCGGCUAACUACGUGCCAGCAGCCGCGGUAAUACGUAGGGUGCGAGCGUUAAUCGGAAUUACUGGGCGUAAAGCGUGCGCAGGCGGUUUUGUAAGACAGGCGUGAAAUCCCCGAGCUCAACUUGGGAAUGGCGCUUGUGACUGCAAGGCUAGAGUAUGUCAGAGGGGGGUAGAAUUCCACGUGUAGCAGUGAAAUGCGUAGAGAUGUGGAGGAAUACCGAUGGCGAAGGCAGCCCCCUGGGACGUCACUGA